Molecule: transfer RNA, 82 nt
Organism: Vitrella brassicaformis
Lineage: Eukaryota; Vitrellaceae
Rfam family: tRNA
About the family: Transfer RNA (tRNA) molecules are approximately 80 nucleotides in length. Their secondary structure includes four short double-helical elements and three loops (D, anti-codon, and T loops). Further hydrogen bonds mediate the characteristic L-shaped molecular structure. tRNAs have two regions of fundamental functional importance: the anti-codon, which is responsible for specific mRNA codon recognition, and the 3' end, to which the tRNAs corresponding amino acid is attached (by aminoacyl-tRNA synthetases). tRNAs cope with the degeneracy of the genetic code in two manners: having more than one tRNA (with a specific anti-codon) for a particular amino acid; and 'wobble' base-pairing, i.e. permitting non-standard base-pairing at the 3rd anti-codon position.
Source: Rfam
GGUGGUUUGCCCGAGAGGUUAAGGGGUUGGACUUGAAAUCCAAUGGGCCUCGCCCGCGCAGGUUCGAGCCCUGCAGCCGCCG